Molecule: ribosomal RNA, 450 nt
Filed under: Pseudoramibacter alactolyticus
Lineage: Bacteria; Bacillati; Bacillota; Clostridia; Eubacteriales; Eubacteriaceae
Description: bacterial SSU rRNA
Rfam family: Bacterial small subunit ribosomal RNA
Source: RNAcentral
GACGAACGCUGGCGGUAUGCUUAACACAUGCAAGUCGAACGAGAAGUUUUUUAUUGAACCUUCGGGGGAUAUAAGAGACAGACAGUGGCGAACGGGUGAGUAACGCGUGGGCAACCUACCUAUCGGAGCGGGAUAGCCUCGAGAAAUCGGGAGUAAAACCGCAUAACACGGAUAUAUCGCAUGAUGAAUCCGUCAAAACUCCGGUGCCGAUAGAUGGGCCCGCGUCUGAUUAGCUAGUUGGUAAGGUAAGGGCUUACCAAGGCAACGAUCAGUAGCCGGUGUGAGAGGGCGAACGGCCACACUGGAACUGAGACACGGUCCAGACUCCUACGGGAGGCAGCAGUGGGGAAUAUUGCGCAAUGGGGGCAACCCUGACGCAGCAAUACCGCGUGAGUGAAGAAGGUUUUCGGAUGGUAAAGCUCUGUUAUUGGGGAAGAAGCAGGACGGUAC